CUACCUGCCUCCAUGCAUACCUGAGGGCAGAGGGCUCUGACCUGCCUACCCCAUCCCCACCUACACUGGAUCCUUCUGACAACCCGUGAGCCUGGUACAGUGCACAGGACCCCCGUUUUACUACAGAGAUCCAAGAGACCACUCUGACCCCAUCUACACUGGGGCUGUGUUAUUGAUGAAAAGUGGAGAGAGCCCCUUACUAUAACCACUCAGACCCUCCAAACAUCUGCUACUGAGAAGAAGGGGGUGGAGACCCGAAUGAUUGACCUGCCUGUCUGCACUAACCCACCGCUCAGACGCCAGAGCCUCUUGUCUCUGGUUCACGUGGAAGUGAGUGAGUUGGUGCUGGGGGAGAAGUAUUUCCCCUCUGCGUUGGUGUCUUUUUACCCUGUGAAACGCCUGCCUUCCAUCCCGAGAGGAAAGAAAACGAUGACAACUUGUGUUCUGGUGGAAGAUUUAGCAGCUACUACAAAACAGAGGUUUGAAAACCUAUUUUGCAGCUCUCAAAUUUCAAUUUAGAUGACUUGACUUUGAGGGCCCAGUGUAGAUGUGAGGGCUGAGUAGAGAAAGCCCGCAGCCCCCUCUCCCCAGGAGCUUACCCCUGCCUCGGGGCUCCCUUUUUGUCUCUCUUGCUGUGUUAUGAAAGGAGAGCAUCUGGGAAUACUCAAAGGCUGGCUUCUGCCUGUGUGUCCCACCCCAUCUCAAGGUGGCUAGUGCUGCUGAGGGACUCCGGCCUGAGGAAGGAAGCGCCCGUGGCCUGGGGCAGAGCCGUGCAGUUGCAUGGCUUUCCUGCCGCUCAAGUCACUGAGGGCUGUUCUUGGUACUGUCUAGAAAAGUUGCUUGCAUCCCUGGAGUCACAGGAAUCUCAUAACCCAGCCUAUGCCCCCAGGCCCCUGCCGUGUCAGUAGAGCCUGCUGAACUUCCUGGGCUAGCGAGACCAGCUGACAGCCACAGUGCUCAAAAGUCAGGGUCUAACCCCGCCAGACUGGCGUCUCUGUAGGAUUCCCUGUCUUUGAAAGGAUACUGGAAGGGCAGUUGUUUUUCUAAACUUACUCCGAACUCUGAGCCACUGCACCUGGCCUUAAUAUCAUUUUAAAAACUAAACACGCUGGCGCGGUGCCUCCCACCUGUAAUCCCAGCACUUCGGGAGGCCAAGGUGGGUGAAUCAUGAGGUCAGGCGUUUGAGACCAGCCUGGGCAGCAUGGUGAAACCCCAUCCCUAUUAAAAAUACAAAAAUUAGCUGGGCGUCGUGGCGGGCCCCUGUAAUACCAGCUACUCAGGAGGCCGAGGCAGGAGAAUCGCUUGAACCUGGGAGGCAGAGGUUAUGGUGAGCAGAGAUCGCGCCACUGCACUCCAGCCUGGGUGAUAGAGCAAGACUCUGUCUCAAAACAAACCAUAUUUAAUUGACUUGGUCUCUUAUAUGGGCUUGUUCUAUUUAAUUUUCUGAGUAAACACAAGGCUUGGCUUUGUUACCCAAAAAACAUGGGCAGCUCUUAGGAAGCUACAUCCUCCAGACUCCUGUCACAGUGAAUUGUUGUCUUUCAGUGUUUAAAAGCAAUAAAGACAAAGUCAAAUCAAACAUGUAACAACUGCUCCCAUUCAGUGGCCAUUGGAGAUGUUUAUUAC
Molecule: long non-coding RNA, 1626 nt
Filed under: Homo sapiens (human)
Lineage: Eukaryota; Metazoa; Chordata; Mammalia; Primates; Hominidae
Description: HSALNT0216691
Source: RNAcentral